Long non-coding RNA from Onychostruthus taczanowskii (white-rumped snowfinch), 190 nucleotides. RefSeq lists it as uncharacterized. The record is from RefSeq and is a predicted model, not a curated record. The transcript is spliced from 3 exons. Lineage: Eukaryota; Metazoa; Chordata; Aves; Passeriformes; Passeridae.
GGGCUGCAGCUGGCGCAGCAGCUCUCGGGGAUAAACGCGAUUUUCUACUAUUCGACGUCCAUCUUUGAGGGGGCGGGGCUUCAGGACCCGGCUGUCGGCACCAUCGGAACGGGCGUGGUCAACGUGGCGGCCACCGCCCUGUCGGUGGUGCUGGUGGAGUGGGUGGGGUCUGUGGGUGGGCGUGUCCCAG